UACGAACUGUGCGAACGUUAUUCGGAAUCACUGGGCUUACAGGGUGCGUAGGCGGGUUGGUAAGUCCGUGGUGAAAUCCCCAAGCUUAACUUGGGAACUGCCGUGGAUACUAUCAAUCUUGAAUAUCGUGGAGGUAAGCGGAAUAUGUCAUGUAGCGGUGAAAUGCUUAGAUAUGACAUAGAACACCAAUUGCGAAGGCAGCUUACUAAACAAAUAUUGACGCUGAGGCACGAAAGCGUGGGGAUCAAACAGG
RNAcentral lists this ribosomal RNA (253 nucleotides) under uncultured bacterium. RNAcentral's name for it is "partial 16S ribosomal RNA". It matches the Rfam family "Bacterial small subunit ribosomal RNA", at positions 524 to 776 of the family's 1533-position model. The record is from RNAcentral.